This 468-nucleotide ribosomal RNA is filed under the name uncultured bacterium. Its description in RNAcentral is "partial 16S ribosomal RNA". It matches the Rfam family "Bacterial small subunit ribosomal RNA", at positions 28 to 507 of the family's 1533-position model. The record is from RNAcentral.
GACGAACGCUGGCGGCGUGCUUAACACAUGCAAGUCGAACGGUGAUGCUCCAGCUUGCUGGAGUGGAUCAGUGGCGAACGGGUGAGUAACACGUGAGCAACCUGCCCCAGACUCUGGAAUAAGCGCUGGAAACGGCGUCUAAUACUGGAUACGAAACUGGCCCGCAUGGGCAUGGUUUGGAAAGUUUUUCGGUUUGGGAUGGGCUCGCGGCCUAUCAGCUUGUUGGUGAGGUAAUGGCUCACCAAGGCGACGACGGGUAGCCGGCCUGAGAGGGCGAACGGCCACACUGGGACUGAGACACGGCCCAGACGCCUACGGGAGGCAGCAGUGGGGAAUAUUGCACAAUGGGCGAAAGCCUGAUGCAGCGACGCCGCGUGAGGGAUGACGGCCUUCGGGUUGUAAACCUCUUUCAGCAGGGAAGAAGCGAAAGUGACGGUACCUGCAGAAGAAGCACCGGCUAACUACGUG